UAGGGAAUCUUCGGCAAUGGACGAAAGUCUGACCGAGCAACGCCGCGUGAGUGAAGAAGGUUUUCGGAUCGUAAAACUCUGUUGUUAGAGAAGAACAAGGACGUUAGUAACUGAACGUCCCCUGACGGUAUCUAACCAGAAAGCCACGGCUAACUACGUGCCAGCAGCCGCGGUAAUACGUAGGUGGCAAGCGUUGUCCGGAUUUAUUGGGCGUAAAGCGAGCGCAGGCGGUUUCUUAAGUCUGAUGUGAAAGCCCCCGGCUCAACCGGGGAGGGUCAUUGGAAACUGGGGGACUUGAGUGCAGAAGGGGAGAGUGGAAUUCCAUUUGUAGCGGUGAAAUGCGUAGAUAUAUGGAGGAACACCAGUGGCGAAGGCGGCUCUCUGGUCUGUAACUGACGCUGAGGCUCGAAAGCGUGGGGAGCAAACAGG
Molecule: ribosomal RNA, 429 nt
Filed under: Gemmatimonadota bacterium
Lineage: Bacteria; Pseudomonadati; Gemmatimonadota
Description: Gemmatimonadetes bacterium partial 16S ribosomal RNA
Rfam family: Bacterial small subunit ribosomal RNA
Source: RNAcentral